GUGUUGGGGACCGGCGACCUCGCCCGGGGGAACACCCCCGGCGCGUCCGCCGCCCCCGAAAUGAAUUGGCGGCCCCGUCGCGGCCUCCUCUGCGUAGUAGCACAACCUCGCAGCGGGAGCGCGACGCGGCCACUGCCGUAAAACGCCCAACUUUUUUUAGAGUUGACCUCGGAUCAGGUAGGAAUACCCGCUGAACUUAA
This 200-nucleotide unclassified non-coding RNA is filed under the name soil metagenome. RNAcentral describes it as "partial contains internal transcribed spacer 2 and large subunit ribosomal RNA". The record is from RNAcentral.